UUACCCUCUCAGAUAGAAGACACAGUUGAACGCUAACUUUGAAAUCCAUUACCCGCUGCUGUGCGCAUGCUAAGGUUUUGGCUCGUGACCAGACAGACUGAACAAAGACGAAGCAGAAAGGAUGGAGAGAAAGGCGUAUACACACACUCAGACGCUAAGCCCAACACUCCAGAGCAAACUUUUUCGGUCACAGUUCAAGAGGAACAGCUGGCAAAACGAUAUCUGGAACAACGGUCUGAUUUACCAUCCAAAUCUCACAUUUCGCAUUCUGUCACCUCCUGCCAUCUCUCGUACGAUCCAGACUGAGCCGAGCCUGUCUGUGUUGACAAGAAGAGUGGAAAAGAGCACUGAAAGCUCUACUUAAGGAAGGGUGGCGCGGCUGUACGCACCCCCUCGUCUCAACGCUGUGAACUCGCUGUGGUCCUACAGGCACCGCGGGCCGACACUCGAGGCCUGGACUUUGACAAGCUGGUGGCAGAGAUCGCUGGAUCUUUGAAUGAGACCUGAGAAAAGCCAGCGCUGCUCUGGGAUGAACAUGGGAUUUGUGGGAUGUGUUUGUAGGAAAGCUCAGCAAAAGCAGAAGAGACAGCUGUUCAAUAACACACUGUAAAGUAUGGAAGUCCAAGAUCUUUAUGCGCAAUCAGUCAAACAGCUCAGCUCCUAAACCGACCCCCAUACGCACAAGAGCAGAGCAUCACGCGCCUCGUCCAGAGAUAAACAACCAGAGAACGCCAGGAGGAUCGGCUUCAUCUUCACCAGCAUCACAGGAGCCAUCAUGAAGCUCCACUGACCGACAGCUGGGCUCAUCACCCAGAACGUGUUUGAGAUUAGGUGCAGUUGAGCGCAUGACGGAUAAUUGUGGACCCUGGAUGUGUGGUUGUGCUUCCUUCUCCUCUCCACCAAUCGGAGUGUCUGGCUCCUGCUGUGGGAGGGGCCUUGGCGGAUAAAAGGAUCACCUGUGGCCGGUUAUGGAGAGAGCAUGUCUGAGACUCCUAGCCAAAGUCUGCCGUAGUCCAAUUGUGACGAUGUAGUCAGUACCAUGUCUCUCUUGUGUUCCGUCUCUUUCCCCUUUCCAGCGCGGAGCGUGGGCAGGCAGGUUGGGCGCGCCUAUACAUUGGCAUUCCUUAUAAUUGCUGGACUGUCUAGACACACUUGGUAAGGGGCGAGUGCCCCCCGCUGUGUUUUGGGACAGGGUUUCUUUGUUCAUUUCUUUGUGGCUGGUUGGACUUUAUUAGUUAUUGUUUUGCAUAUUGAAUGCUUUGUUAUUCUUUGUCUUUUUUCAUUUAUAUUUAGUUUGUUUUACUUUACCUGUUCUCGUAGGUGAUGCUCCUGUUAUGUGCAGUUACCAGUGGGAAGCAAAGUGAAAGUUUUUCACACCUGCUGUGUGAACCAAGCCUGAAAAACACGCUUCUGUUGUUUCCACUGUGUGCUGCUGCAAGCAGGUCAGGGGGAUAUCAACAGCAGGUACCACCCUCUCAACUACGUCUUUGAAACCGUCUGUAUUAGUGUUACAAAUAGCUUCAUUUUUUCCCCCAAAGAUUUUGUGCCUUUACUCUGUGCUUACUUUGCUAUUGUUUAGUUUGUGCACCCCUGGUAAAGGACUAGUAAAGGACUGGUAAAGGACUGGUAAAGGACUAGUAAAGGACUGGUAAAGGACUGGUAAAGGACUGGUAAAGGACUGGUAAAGAACUGGUAAAGGACUGGUAAAGGACUAGUAAAGGACUGGUAAAGGACUGGUAAAGGACUAGUAAAGGACUAGUAAAGGAAUGGUAAAGGACUGGUAAAGGACUAGUAAAGGACUGGUAAAGGACUGGUAAAGGACUAGUAAAGGACUGGUAAAGGACUGGUAAAGGACUGGUAAAGGACUAGUAAAUGACUGGUAAAGGACUAGUAAAGGACUGGUAAAGGACUGGUAAAGGACUGGUAAAGGACUGGUAAAUGACUGGUAAAGGACUAGUAAAGGACUGGUAAAGGACUGGUAAAGGACUAGUAAAGGACUGGUAAAGGACUGGUAAAGGACUGGUAAAGGACUAGUAAAGGACUGGUAAAGGAAUGGUAAAGGACUGGUAAAGGACUAGUAAAGGACUGGUAAAGGACUGGUAAAGGACUGGUAAAGGACUGGUAAAGGACUAGUAAAGGACUGGUAAAGGACUGGUAAAGGACUAGUAAAGGACUGGUAAAGGACUAGUAAAGGACUGGUAAAGGACUGGUAAAGGACUAGUAAAUGACUGGUAAAGGACUGGUAAAGGACUGGUAAAGGACUAGUAAAGGACUGGUAAAGGACUGGUAAAGGACUGGUAAAGGACUAGUAAAGGACUGGUAAAGGACUGGUAAAGGACUGGUAAAGGACUAGUAAAGGACUGGUAAAGGACUGGUAAAGGACUGGUAAAGGACUAGUAAAGGACUGGUAAAGGACUGGUAAAGGACUAGUAAAGGACUGGUAAAGGACUGGUAAAGGACUAGUAAAGGACUGGUAAAGGACUAGUAAAGGACUGGUAAAGGACUGGUAAAGGACUAGUAAAGGACUAGUAAAUGACUGGUAAAGGACUAGUAAAGGACUGGUAAAGGACUGGUAAAGGACUUGUUUUGUUGAUUUUAUAAGAAAAUGACUGAGCACAUCCUCAACAGAGAGCACACUGCACAUUUUACAGUACAGUUACUGCUUAUUUACAGAAUUUUACAGUUUACAGCCGUUGUUGACCAUUCUGGCAGUGGUCACGGGAAAACGUCUAGGUGGAUCACUCAAUGUGGCCGGGCAGGGGAGGUACCACCUCUGCUUAGCUUGAGAAACUGAUCCGCUUCCUAUGCACUGCUUGUCCAGUUUGAGUGUGUUACAGUGUUGAGUGUGGGGACUUUACGUAUUGCAAACUCAAACAGUCAAAUUUGAUGCCUUGUCUCUGCUGCUCUGUUAUACUGUAAUCUGUGGUCAGCCACUCUUUACAGAACUGACUCUGUGUUUUCUUCCUUUCUCUGCCGAGUUGAUCAGCUGCCCAUCCUGUGCGUCUCAUGCUGUUGGCCCUUCUGCCCUGAUCGGGUGCCACAGCUGACCAGCCCUUGGCUUGACCACCACCGCUGCUGCUGCUGCUGCUGCUGCAUCAUCAUAAACAAAUCAAAUCAGCCACUGCUUUCUUUUUAUU
Pygocentrus nattereri (red-bellied piranha) is the source of this 3137-nucleotide long non-coding RNA. RefSeq lists it as uncharacterized. The record is from RefSeq and is a predicted model, not a curated record. The transcript has 4 exons. NCBI's taxonomy places the organism in Eukaryota, Metazoa, Chordata, Actinopteri, Characiformes, Serrasalmidae.